AAAAAACUAGUUAAUUCAUAACAUAAGAAUGUCACUCUUAAAUAACUUAAAGUGUUUUUUU
This 61-nucleotide transfer RNA is filed under the name Ogadenus brumpti. RNAcentral describes it as "tRNA-Asp". Lineage: Eukaryota; Metazoa; Arthropoda; Arachnida; Ixodida; Argasidae. The record is from RNAcentral.